Molecule: ribosomal RNA, 621 nt
Filed under: Bacillus sp. (in: firmicutes)
Lineage: Bacteria; Bacillati; Bacillota; Bacilli; Caryophanales; Bacillaceae
Description: bacterial SSU rRNA
Rfam family: Bacterial small subunit ribosomal RNA
Source: RNAcentral
GAUGCAAAGGGAGCUUGCUCCCUCGAGAUCAGCGGCGGACGGGUGAGUAACACGUGGGUAACCUGCCUGUAAGACUGGGAUAACUCCGGGAAACCGGGGCUAAUACCGGAUAACUCAGUUCCUCGCAUGAGGAACUGUUGAAAGGUGGCUUUUCGCUACCACUUACAGAUGGACCCGCGGCGCAUUAGCUAGUUGGUGAGGUAACGGCUCACCAAGGCGACGAUGCGUAGCCGACCUGAGAGGGUGAUCGGCCACACUGGGACUGAGACACGGCCCAGACUCCUACGGGAGGCAGCAGUAGGGAAUCUUCCGCAAUGGACGAAAGUCUGACGGAGCAACGCCGCGUGAGUGAAGAAGGUUUUCGGAUCGUAAAACUCUGUUGUUAGGGAAGAACAAGUGCCGUUCGAAUAGGGCGGCGCCUUGACGGUACCUAACCAGAAAGCCACGGCUAACUACGUGCCAGCAGCCGCGGUAAUACGUAGGUGGCAAGCGUUGUCCGGAAUUAUUGGGCGUAAAGCGCGCGCAGGUGGUUUCUUAAGUCUGAUGUGAAAGCCCACGGCUCACCGUGGAGGGUCAUUGGAAACUGGGGGAACUUGAGUGCAGAAGAGGAAAGUGGAAUUC